GAAGAAACCAACUGUGCCCCCACCUUGAUCUUGGACUUUCAGCCUCCAGAACGGAGUGUGACAAGAGAAGGGCUCAGGAAUCAUGAGGGGCCUCCAACAUGCCCACCUGGAGCAUGCUACCCAGCUCCUGUAACUGGGGUCAAAGGCCUUCCCACCACAAAAGGGGGCCCAAGAGACCAGUCCCCUAUGCCUCUCAGUUCAUCUGGUGAAAAAUAUGGCUGCCAUCAACACCUCCGUAGGCUUUAUUGAAGAAAUCAAGCAAAUUGAGCUAAGUUGUCUUUAUCUCAAACUCAAGAGGAUUGAGAAGAUUCCUUGGCUGGACUUGGGGAGGAAGUGCUCCUUAUUGAAUGUCUACCAUGUGCCAGGUGCCCUCUAGGUCAUGGGGAUACAGUAGAGAGCAGAACAGACAAUCCUGCUGUCAUGGAUCAGACAUUCUAUGAUAUGGCACUGACUAUAUGUUUAUUACUAAGCACCUAUCGAGAACCAGGCCCCAACUUUGUACCAAGGACACAACACUGAGCAAAAAGCACAGACGUCAUUGCAUAUGGUGAUAAAUGAGUUCAUUUAGUCAAUAGUCUAGAUUGCUAUAAGAACAUACAGCGAGGGGACUUGAACUGGUUUGAGGGGCUGGGAAAAAAUUUUUUUAAUAUGAAUUAAGUGAAAUUUAUUUUUUAGAACUGUUUUAGAUUUACAGAGAAAUUAUGAAGAUAGUGUAAAGAGUUCCCGAUAUACCCCACACUCAGUUUCCCCUGCUAUUAACAUCUUAUGUUACUGUGGUACAUUUGCCACAAGUAAGGAACCAAUAUUGAUAUAUUGUUAUUAACUGAAGUCCAUACUUGGUUCAGGUUUCCUUAGUUUGUACCUAAUGUUCUUUGUGUGCUCCAGGAUCCCACGUUGUUGUCCUCAUGUCUGUGUAGGCUCAACCUUGGCUGUGAAAGUUUCUUAGACUGUCCUUGUUUUUGAUGACCUUGACAGUUUUGAGGAGUACAGGUGAGGUAGAUUGUAGAAUGUACCUCUGCUGGAAUUUUCCUCAUGAUUAGACUGAGGUUAUGACUUCUGGGCAGAAGACCCCAGAGGUAGAGUACCAUUUUCAUCACAUCAUAUCAAGGGUAUGUGCUAUCAACUUGACCUGUCACUGUGGAUGUUGACCUUGACCGCCUGGCUGACGUAGCUUCUGUCAGAUUUCUCCAUACUUCCCGUUUCCUUCUUUGUACUGUAGUGCAGCCCACAUUCAAGGGUGGGGUGGGGGUGUUAUACGCACCUCCUUGACAGUUUGUUUCAUUUCUCAUAGCUUUAUUGAGGUAUAAUUUACAUACCGCAAAAAUCACUCGUUUUAAGUGAACAGGUUGAUGAGUUUAGUAAAAUUCUACAGAUGUGCCUGAGGGAACUGGUUUUUUGAGCUGACAUCCAAAGGAUGAGGAGGAUUGAAGUGGGCAAGGGAAGGGAAGACUGUUCCAGGCAGAGGUAAAGCCACCCACAAACCCCUCAGGGGAACGUCGUGCAUUCAAGGACCUUGGGUUAAUCCCGGAUCCCCUAAAAAAAAAGGCAGAACAUGUCACCAUCCUCCAUUUAAUAUGCUUCAUAGAUAUUUUCUUCAAAUCAUUUUAAAGUCCACAGCAUUUUAUGGCCUAACUGCAUUAACUCCAGUUCUGUGAAACAAUUGUCUGUCUAGAACAACUCAUCCCCUGGAGGUUUAUCCAAGGUUUUACUGCAACAAUAAGUAAAUAUUAGGAUAGUAAAAUUCAGAAUGAUCCCUGAGGGGGAAUAAAAUUGUGGUAAAAUUUCCUCCCUUUUCAGGUCUCGUUUAAACAAAAAUGAAAGUGGGUGUACCAUUUCCUUCCUGAUAAGCCCUUGAUUUAUUUCCCUUUGGAACAAACACACCACAGCAAAGUGAGGAUGAGAAGGUAAUUCAGAGGCAGAAGAAGGGAAGGAACUAUACUCAGAAAUAUGUCCUCAUGCAAAGUUAGCAUCUGAAAAGAUCCAGUUAGCAGAAACACUGAAACGCUAUUUCCAGGUGUGAAGUAUCCAAGAGGCUCUCAGGACCCCUGUGGGACAUUUCCUGGCAUGUAUGAGCACCAUAUGUGUCAGGACAGGCAGGGCUGGGCUGCAGUAACAAAGAAACCCCUUAUUCUCAGUGGCUGAAUACAACAGGUCCUUAUCUGAUGUAGAGCAGGUGGCUCUCCUUGGCGGCUCUCCUCCAAUAAUUGAUUCAGGGAUCUAGGCUCCACCCAUCUUGCAAUGGUGUCAUCUUAAUCACGUGGCCUCAAAGUUUGCCACCAAAUAGGAAGAGAGAGUGUGGGUGAUGACAUAGGGGAUUGUAUGUGCCAGGACUGGUAGUGGUAUAUUACAUCACUUCUGCCCACAUCCCUUUGGUCAAGACCCGGUUAUAUAAACCCAAACUAAAUGGAAAGGAGGCUGGGAAAUGUAGUCUUCUUGUGUGUGCAGGAGGAAGAAAAUAAAAUGGGAUUUGGUGACUGUAUAGUAUUGUUUUUGCCCCAAGACCUUAAUCUUUUUAAUUUGAUGCUUUUCAAAUUGUAAAAUAAUACAUGCUCACUGUCACAAGUGAAACAUAGGUGUAAAACAGUGAAAGUAAUUAUGUUCCCCACUUUUGGUCACCUCUCACUUCUCCUUCCCUGUGUAACCUGCCACACCUCUUUCCUUGUUCGUAGGACUGUAUUCCAUGUAUAUAUAUGACUCAGGGGAAUUUGACUCUGGAAGACAUUUCUGAACUGGAGGUUUUCAUACUAAUGCUGCUAGAGUUGUUGAGAAACACCUGAAUGAAAUGUUCAUCUAAGAGUGUCCAUCGUUGUGUGCACAAGUGGUGUUAACAAGGGAGCUCAAACAUGCCGCAGUGGAAGUAGCCAUUGAUAACAGCUCUCUAGGAGAGUCCGUGGUUACUGUGACAAGGUACUAAAUGAUUAGCCCUGAGCUAACAUCUGCCACCAAUCCUCCUGUUUUCGCUAAGGAAGACCGGCCCUGA
Non-coding RNA from Equus caballus (horse), 2980 nucleotides. The record is from RefSeq and is a predicted model, not a curated record. NCBI's taxonomy places the organism in Eukaryota, Metazoa, Chordata, Mammalia, Perissodactyla, Equidae.